UUUUUUGAACCCCAUCAGAGGUACAUGAAUGAGAGCAGCAGGGGAGAAAUACACCACCAAUUCCAAACAUAGGAGGGAAUAGGGGAACAGGCUCACCAAGUAAGGGAGGUGUUCUGCACAUUUUUCAGUUCUCCAUAGGGCAGCGUCUAUUGGCAGGACAGGAUGGUGUAAUGUCAGUCCUUGUUCCCUAACCUAUAGCCUAUCCGUGCCAAAAAAAAAAAAAAACCCUCUACAUAAUGUUUAGAUCCUGUCUUUUUGUGGACAGGUGUCGUCAAAAUUGGCCCGCGUAACAAGCAAGCUUUAAGGUGGGAACGGUUAUGCAGUUCCUCGUCAGUAGGUCCUACAAGUAUUGUUCAUUAUGGGAAAGAUCAGCUCAACGGGAGCAUUUGUUCCAGGCAGACACAAGGCAAACUGACAAAUUAUGCAUAUUUUUUUUUGUACGGACUGUCCCUGGAUCUGAAAUACACGAACAUCUCCGCCCAGCGCUCCUCCACUGGUUUUACGUCACCAUUCCUGUUGUGUAUGCCCUCACAUAUUGUUGAAAUCAUAUGCUGGAGGCUUUAAUCUUUCUAUGUGGUUUUUAGUGAAUGAUCGGGCUAUGAUAAAACCACGUUGGCUUUGUAAUCGCAGACAACAAGGGACAUUUCAUAAUGGUUGGUGGAAAACUUGGGACACGCAACUUAAAAUCCGGACUGUCCCAUCCCAUCUGGUGACCUGACGUCUGGUCACCCUGGGCUAUUAGUGCAUAGUGCUAAUCGCUAGUUCUAUGACUGCUGGAAGUGUUGAUAAAUUACAAGAUUACUCACAAGAUUGCUCACUACACACACAGGGACGCAAGAUCACACGGGACUUCCUUUUCACCAACUUGACAUCAAACAGUAGUAACACACACACACACACACACACACACACACACACACACACACACACACACACACACACACACACACACACACACACACACACACACACACACACACACACACACACACACACACACACACACACACACACACACACACACACACACACACACACACACACACACGUAGUUUUCUUAAUUAGUUAAUUGGUUGCAUCUGGUGCGUUUUACUUAAAAAGGAACCGGACAGUACGGAGUUCUCCACUGUUUGGCAUUGUAGCGUCUCCCAAACGCGUUUCACAGGUUAAAGACUUUUUGAAGUAAAGAGGAGCAUCUCAUCUGAACCUGAUGUCUAUCAUGGAUAUUUAACUGCAGUUCUGUGAGUAUCCCAACUUGACCAUGAAGAUGAACUGCAAACUGUAAGUCAUUAGUUUCUCAUUACUCUUGGGCACAUUGAUGUAUUUUGGCUUCCUGGUGAGUUAACCUGUUAGCUGAAGGUUGAUCUGAGUAUUAAGGAUGUUUCAUUGGUUCAUGGGUUACUUAGGUGUUUGGUUUAUGUUGGUUUUAAUGUUUUUUUAUAAUGGUCACAGGCUCCAAGUUAUUGUUGUAAGCUGGUGUAAUGGGUUGGGUUCUGAUAUCUUCAGUCUUCUUUCCAGCUACUCUCCUGAGCUCUGCAUCUUCAUCACAUGAGUAUUGCUUUAUUUAUGAGGGUGUGGUCUGAGUGAGCAGAGGUGCAUACUGGGAUACAGAGUUGUCUGAAGUCUACAGGUCUGUAGACACGCCCCCGCAGGGGAAACCGUGUGUUUGAGAAACGGUCGUGACAUCAGUUACAUGGACUAGAAUGUUCUUUAAGAUGGAGACAGGGUUUCAGAAGGAGAAACACCAGGGGGAGAUGAGGGGGCUCCUCAUCUCAACGACUAAAACACAACUUCAGUCUGACACAGAGAACCAUGGAACACAGUCAACCGUCCCCUCCAGGCAUCGUGACUCCUCAGGAACAGUUUCAUUUCCAAGAAGGUCUUAUUUGGGGCCAUUCCAAGAUGGAUCCUGCUCCUCAAGAGCCACCCCCCUCCACUGGGUGGUCUUAUGAACAGAUGACCUCCUUCCUGUCCUCAGGCUGACUAAAGCUCCACCGCUUGCUGUGAAGGCCCCUCAUUCAGGAAUCCACUGGACUACAAAGACAUGACUUCAGAGACGUUGAAUCAACCUGGGACACAUUUGGAGACGCCAAGCAUAAUCCAUCACCAAUGUGGGACGCCACUGAAGAAUGUUGUACAUAAUUUACGUCUCUGGAGACAUUGGUUGUUCUGUUCUGGGUGUCCUGGCAAGAGAGCUAGGGGUGGAUGAUGGAAUGUUCUUUGGGAUGAGGUUUUUACCCUGCAUGAUUGUUUUGCCUUUUAUGGCUCAGUGGUGUGUGUUGGUUUGACAUGAGGUGGAUGAUUUUUGUGUGUGUGUCACUCACACCUGGCAUGGGGUUCUGUGUGUGUCUGGCUUGCUUUGACAGUGAUAAUGUUCAUACGGGGGUCUGUGUGAUUGACUUGGGAUAUUGGAAUGGUCAAAUAAAUCAUACCUGAUGGCCACACGUUUACUUGAGGCCUCCAGUAGACAUGAAGAGCACGGAGCAACGCUCCGGAGCGAUAUCCAACACACUGGGCAGGAAGGAGAGUAUCCAAAUCAAGUGUAAAAGGAUGCAAGCGGCGUGUUCAGAUCAGUGACUUCAAACUAGGACUACACCAAUCAGGAUCAAUGGAGGAUGGACACCUAAAGGCAUUCCACAAGGAGAGUCUGAAGUUGGAAAGGGACCUCGAUGGAUAUUCAAGAUGACCUUCAGACCUGUAAUGAGACGGCUCUUCCUACCUGGCUGGAUUGAUGGAGAGCCCUGUGGAUCUUGUCUUGCUCUCAGUUGCAUGUCUUCUCAGGCUGAACUGUAUUUGUUUCGGACAGGACCAAUCUGGGAACUCCAACUAGUGCGCUCUUCGAGCUGAAGUUGUGCUCUUCAGCUGAGGAGGUAAGGAAACCUUCACUGGGGCUUCAAGAUGUAAAGAGGAGACUGUUUCAAAGUGUUCCAUGGAACUCUGAUGAGGCCGUUGUUGUGUUCCACUGGCUGAGAGGAAGAACCCUCACAUCUUCCUCUUGGCCUUUCUCAUCUGAGAGUCCUGGCGCCAUCUUGAAGGAUAUUCCAGCGCAUGUAACUGAUGUCACAACAGAUUCUCAAACACUUGGUUUCUCCUGAGGGGCUUAUCUAUAGAACUGAAUACUUCAGACAGCACUGUAUCCCAGCAUGCAUCUCUGCUCACUCAGACCACGCCCUAAUGAGUAGGAUGCAACACUCUAGUGAUGGAGAUGUAGAGUUUAUAAGUAACGAGGGAGCAGACAAAGGUGAUUAGAACACGAUGGCAUGUCAAUUCUGUAAAUCUUUAAACCAUGAAGAUGGUUGGAUAGAUCAGGAAUUGGGCUUUAUUUUAUUAUGGGCAAUCCUUUCGCUCAAAUGCCCACUUCUUGCUGGACCUGUACAUGUGUUGGCUGGCUGGCAUGAUUUGCUGUUGGUGAUGAGUAGGUCAGGGUGACGUUGCAGGGCUAUGGUCGGCUCUCUGUGAGCUUAACUUUUAGAUUUGCUCUGUAUGGUUUGUACCAUGAAUAAUAAUUGUAAAAUGUAGACAUGGUUUUGUAUUGAAUGAUUCCAUUGUUUUUAGGCAAGGAUUUGUUGUUGUGGGAUGUACAUGGUAGUUUGGUUCUUCGUACAGUUUUGAUUGAUAUAACUUGUACACACUGGGUGCAUAAUAAUGUAAAAGUAUACUGAAUAGUAGUAAUUACCAACAGCAACAAACAGAUCUCCUCAAGGUAAGUCUGUUGGCUGUGUUUUAAUGUAGACCAUCGCUGGACUUCAGGAUCUUCCUCCGUUCAGCUCAAGGUGAGGCGCUGGUUGUUUUUUCUUUGGUUGGUUCCGGCCGGAAUGUUCGGAUUCCAGUCGGACGGUUUGUGCUUCCCGCCGUGGAAGGUUUUGAGUGCGGUCACUUGAUUUAGUCCCAAUGGUUAGCAUAGAACGUUGUAGUCUUGACACCCAUUAGAAGCCACCUGGCAGUUAGUUGGACAGGAAUCUGUCUGAACGUUCUGGAUUGUAUUUGCGUAACCUUGAGCCGUUGCCAACGGAAACUAUUUUUCAGUUUUCAUUGGGAAUUGUUGGCCCUUAUCUUAAACAACUUAAGUUUGAUAUUAAAUACAUACUGACGCGUACAUCGUACAAUAUGUUGAUAAUUUUCGAUGGUUGCGUCGUACUUUUAUCCACGUUGACGGGACUCUCGCUGCGUACAAAACGGUGUUCUACUUGCGGGCCCAUUUCUGACAUCAGUGAAGGCUGAAAAUCAUUUCACGGUGGAAGACAAUUUGACAUUUCUUCAACGGAAUCCAGCACCUGAAUAUGAAUGGGUAAAUUUGAUUUAAUAUCAAUACUGCUUAGUGUUCUUUGGUACUUCAGCUUUUGUACGUUCUAAAUAUCUGCGGUCAUUAAUUGCACAGAAGUUAAACUUUACCUAAAGGAAUGACGUUAAACAACGACUUUGGUGCUGAGUUACCAACUCGAUAAUAUCAAAGCUAAAAUAAUGGCCGUCCUUCCCACGUGUUCUGUACAAGGUUAAAAUGGUAACAUGUAGUUUGUCCCAAGGUGUCCACCUCCUCACCCAGAGUAAGACCUCCACCGCCUGUCACAAGUCCUCCAGAACAGCUGAAAGGCGAGGCUGAGAGGCUGGGGGCCGGAGGCUUGUGGUGCCAGGAUGGACCGGAGACUGAGGCUGGAGACCAGGGGCCUGCAGCACCAGAUCAGAGGACCAGGAAUCCAAGGCUGAAAGAGCUGAUGGAGGAGCCAUGCUGAAGGCCCUGCCUGGUGGAGGAGCUGACGGAGGCCCUGCCUGGUGGAGGAUGUCUGUCGUGGGGUAGAUGGAGCCUGACUCUGAAACCAGGACUCUGUCUGAGGAGAGCUGAUGGAGGAGCUGAGACGCUGGAGGACGACUAGGAAUCAACCAACAAGGAUUCCUCAAUGUGUUUCUGGAGCGGAGGUGAGCUGGUAGGGGAGCCAUGAAUCUGGAGGAUGACCAUCACUUUACCAACAAGGAUUACGUUGGGGCCAGACUUGCGCUGUUUGUUCCAGAUCAGGACUCUGGCUGAGGAGAGCUGAUGGAGGAGCCAAGACUCUCGAGGACGACAUCACUCCACCAACCAGGAUCCUCACCAGGAAUCUGGAGGACUGACGGAGAAGCCGUACAUCUGGAAGGCAAAUCCUGAGGGCGACCAGGACUCUACCAUCAAGGAUUCCACACACACCUGAGCUGAACCUCACCUGAUCCUGUCUGGGCGGGGGCAGACACACCUGAGCUGAACCCCACCUGAUCCGGACAUCCUGCUGGUCCCGUCUCCUCUGUUCAUCUGAGCCUCUUCCUCCAGAAGACCUGCUGAGCUCAGCGGUCUGAGGCUGAUGGAUCCAUGACCUCCAGUGGGAGUGAUCUUCUUGAUCCCACAUAUACCCAUGUGCUUCCACACGCCUUUCCCUCAAGUCUGUCACUAACUUCACUACUCUCUACUCCUUCCCCUUCUUCUUCCUUCUCCGUUCAAACCUUUACUCUGAAGGAGUGUCUCCUUGAACCUUUACACUGAAGGAGCGUCUUCCUGCCCUCAGAGGGUUCAGCGUUAGGGUUGAGAGUCAGGGUUUAGAGUCAGGGACAGAGCUGGUCAGUGAGUGCUGGUUUUACACAAACCUCUUCACUUGCUUUCUGAAUGGUGGUGACAUUUUGAAAAGAUUCAUUUGGGAAAAUGUUUUCCUCGGCUUUCCGUUGCAAAAAUAUGUAUUAAACUUCUGUGUUUGUAACCAGACCAGGAAUCCAUGGCUGAAGGAGCUGAUGGAGGAGCUGUGCUGAAGGAGCUGAUGGAGGAGCUGAUGGAGGCCCUGCCUGGUGGAGGAGCUGACGGAGGCCCUGCCUGGUGGAGGAUGUCUGUCGUGGGGUAGAUGGAGCCUGACUCUGAAACCAGGACUCUGUCUGAGGAGAGCUGAUGGAGGAGCUGAGACGCUGGAGGACGACUAGGAAUCAACCAACAAGGAUUCCUCAAUGUGUUUCUGGAGCGGAGACGAGCUGAUAGGGGAGCCGUGAAUCUGGAGGAUGACCAUCACUCUACCAACAAGGAUUAGACAAAUUACAUUUGUAACCAGACCAGGAAUCUGGAGGACUGACUAAGAAGCCGUACAUCUGGAAUGCAAAUCCUGAGGACGACCAGGACUCUACCAUCAACGAUUCCUCACACACCUGAGCUGAACCUCACCUGAUCCUGUCUGGGCGGGGGCAGACACACCUGAGCUGAACCCCACCUGAUCCGGACAUCCUGCUGGUCCCGUCUCCUCUGUUCAUCUGAGCCUCGUCCUCCAGAAGACCUGCUGAGCUCAGCGGUCUGAGGCUGAUGGAUGAAUGACCUCCAGUGGGAGUGAUCUUCUUGACCCCACAUGUACCCGUGUGCUUCCACACGCCUUUCCCUCAAGUCUGUCACUAACCUCACUACUUCACUUCUCUCUACUCCUUCCCCUUCUUCUUCCUUCUCCGUGGUUCGAACCGUUACUCUGAAGGAGUGUCUUCUUGAAUCUUUACACUGAAGGAGCGUCUUCCUGCCCUCAGAGGGUUCAGCGUUAGGGUUGAGAGUCAGGGUUUAGAGUCAGGGACAGAGCUGGUCAGGGAGGACUGCUUUUACACAAACCUCUUCACUUGCUUUCUGAAUGGUGACAUUUUGAAAAGAUUCAUCUGGGCAAAUGUUUUCCUCUGCUUUCCUUUACAAAAAUAUGUGUUUAACUUUUGUCAAUUGUUUUUGUUUAGAUAUUAAAAUCCCACAUUGACUUCUACAUUUUUGGUGCUGUUCAUUUAAUUGUCCUUUUAACUUGGUUAUUGUCAAGCUAAACUCCUGCAAUACACUUAAUAUACAUGAUGAAUGUUAUUCAGCAAUGUUCACAUAAUCGAUUUUCUAAAAAUAUAAAACAUCCAUAUUACUACU
This is a long non-coding RNA of Gadus macrocephalus (Pacific cod), 6886 nucleotides long. RefSeq lists it as uncharacterized. NCBI's taxonomy places the organism in Eukaryota, Metazoa, Chordata, Actinopteri, Gadiformes, Gadidae. The transcript has 14 exons. The record is from RefSeq and is a predicted model, not a curated record.